This 528-nucleotide ribosomal RNA is filed under the name Triticum aestivum (bread wheat). RNAcentral describes it as "partial small subunit ribosomal RNA". The record is from RNAcentral. Lineage: Eukaryota; Viridiplantae; Streptophyta; Magnoliopsida; Poales; Poaceae.
GAAGAAAAGGUUGUCAUGUUCUUGCUAGUGGUGGGACAUGUACUGAAAAUGAGGUCGCUUCGAGGCACAUACAAGCGGUCUUUGGGAACUAUAAGUACUCACUUUUCCGCGGUCUUAAAUGCCAUUCUAUCUAUGCAUGGGGAGUUCAUUAAGCUUCCAGAUGAUAAUGUUCAACCUCCCAAUGAUUACAAAUAGAAGUGGUUUGGUGAUGCACUUGGAGCACUAGAUGUCUGUCAUGUAGAUGUUUUAGUUCUAGUGGUUGCCCAAGGGAGGUACAUGAAUAGAAAGCAAGAUAUCACUACUAACAUGCUUGCUGUGGUGGACUGGAACAUGAAAUUUCUGUAUGUCUUACCUGGCUGGGAGGGUUCCGCUUCCGACUCUAGAGUCCUUCGGAGAACUAAUCGCCAAGAUGCAUUUGUUGUACCUUAUGGUAUGGUUUUUUCUCUUGGCCUUUUGUUCUCUCUAAUUGUGUAUGUCACAACCAACCUAACUCACUUGUUUACCAAUAGGAAGAUAUUACUUGGCUGA